RNAcentral lists this small nuclear RNA (295 nucleotides) under Tupaia belangeri (northern tree shrew). RNAcentral describes it as "7SK RNA (ENSTBEG00000021301.1)". It matches the Rfam family "7SK RNA". From Rfam's summary of the family: 7SK was discovered as an abundant small nuclear RNA in the mid-70s but a possible function has only recently been suggested. The record is from RNAcentral. Lineage: Eukaryota; Metazoa; Chordata; Mammalia; Scandentia; Tupaiidae.
GGAUAUGAGGGCAAUCAGGCUGUAAUAUCUGCAGUCACCCAUUGAUUUCUAGGGCUGAUUCACCUGAUCUGGCUAGAUAGGCAGGGAUCUCUUUCCUCCCUCUCUCUCUUUGUACAUUCUCCCCUCCACAGUUGCUGUGUCAAAGAGGAUGACCUUACCUGAUAGGGAAAGAUCAUGCAGAGUAGCUGUGCUCCCCUCCACAACCUUCAAAAAAGCUCUCAAAAUUAAGUUUAACAUGAUAAAAUUACUCUGAUAAUUCAGAAGAAACUUUAAAAUCUAGGAGUGGCUUUGAUUU